GCAGUCGAGCGCGCCCUUCGGGGUGAGCGGCGGACGGGUCAGUAACGCGUGGGAACGUGCCCUUUGCUGCGGAAUAGCCACUGGAAACGGUGAGUAAUACCGCAUGAGCCCUUCGGGGGAAAGAUUUAUCGGCAAGGGAUCGGCCCGCGUUGGAUUAGGUAGUUGGUGGGGUAAUGGCCUACCAAGCCGACGAUCCAUAGCUGGUUUCAGAGGAUGAUCAGCCACACUGGGACUGAGACACGGCCCAGACUCCUACGGGAGGCAGCAGUGGGGAAUCUUAGACAAUGGGCGCAAGCCUGAUCUAGCCAUGCCGCGUGAGUGACGAAGGCCCUAGGGUCGUAAAGCUCUUUCGCCUGUGAAGAUAAUGACGGUAGCAGGUAAAGAAACCCCGGCUAACUCCGUGCCAGCAGCCGCGGUAAUACGGAGGGGGUUAGCGUUGUUCGGAAUUACUGGGCGUAAAGCGCGCGUAGGCGGACCAUCAAGUUGGGGGUGAAAUCCCGGGGCUCAACCCCGGAACUGCCUCCAAAACUGGCGGUCUGGAGUUCGAGAGAGGUGAGUGGAAUUCCGAGUGUAGAGGUGAAAUUCGUAGAUAUUCGGAGGAACACCAGUGGCGAAGGCGGCUCACUGGUCUCGAGACUGACGCUGAGGUGCGAAAGUGUGGGGAGCAAACAGGAUUAGAUACGCUGCUAGUCCACACCGUAAACGAUGAAUGCCAGUCGUCGGCAAGCAUGCUUGUCGGUGACACACCUAACGGAUUAAGCAUUCCGCCUGGGGAGUACGGCCGCAAGGUUACAACUCAAAUGAAYUGACGGGA
Molecule: ribosomal RNA, 814 nt
Filed under: uncultured bacterium
Lineage: Bacteria
Description: bacterial SSU rRNA
Rfam family: Bacterial small subunit ribosomal RNA
Source: RNAcentral